UCACGCAUCGCGUCUCCCCNAAAACCACCUUGUGUGGAGGGGAAGGAGGAUGGUUUCCCGCGCCUCACCGGUUGCGGCUGGCCUAAAUUCGGAGCCCUCGGCAUCGGGAUGCCGCGGCGAUAGGUGGUGAACAUGGCCUCGGCCAAGCAAGCAACCCGUCGCGCAUCACCUUGCCAAAGGGAGCUCGAAGGACCCUUUGAUGUUGCCUUGUCGCAACCAAACCUUUGCGAC
This 231-nucleotide ribosomal RNA is filed under the name Petrocoptis sp. 'Oxelman 2276'. Lineage: Eukaryota; Viridiplantae; Streptophyta; Magnoliopsida; Caryophyllales; Caryophyllaceae. The record is from RNAcentral.